RNAcentral lists this transfer RNA (65 nucleotides) under Fukomys damarensis (Damara mole-rat). It matches the Rfam family "tRNA". Rfam says of the family: Transfer RNA (tRNA) molecules are approximately 80 nucleotides in length. The record is from Rfam by way of RNAcentral. Lineage: Eukaryota; Metazoa; Chordata; Mammalia; Rodentia; Bathyergidae.
GAUGUAACUCAGCGGUAGAGCACUUGCCUAACAUGUGCAAGGCCCUGGGUUUGAUUCCCAGCAUC